RNAcentral lists this long non-coding RNA (444 nucleotides) under Heterocephalus glaber (naked mole-rat). RNAcentral describes it as "lncRNA (ENSHGLG00000040871.1)". Lineage: Eukaryota; Metazoa; Chordata; Mammalia; Rodentia; Bathyergidae. The record is from RNAcentral.
AAGGGGCGUGUCUACGCUGAACGGAAGAUGGAAGGUGUCUCAGUUACGGCUGCGUGGGCGCUCCGAAGCAGCUUCCGUUGUGGAGGGGACGAGUGUCCGCUCGGAAGAUCGAUCACCUGUGGUGAGAGCUGGGGCGCUGACAGGGUCGCCAGCACCGCACUCCUUCCUUCUCCGCAGUUUUGCACCCGGUCUCUGCGUCCCUGUUUCCCAGGUUAAGAGCACUUACACUUCUUUCCAGUGUAGGCGACUCUUUCAAGUGUGCCUCAGUCUGUCAUGUUUCCUGCCCCGGAAGCUCGAUGCCGACCUCCGCACGCCCCUCCAUGAGCGUCUGGACAUUCUGACAACUUCCACCACCAACCGCCCAGACCUGACUGACAUUCCCUUGCAACACCCAGAUGAGACCUUCUUCACCAAUGGUAACAGUUUUGUGGAAGACAAAAUCAG